RNAcentral lists this long non-coding RNA (669 nucleotides) under Phascolarctos cinereus (koala). Its description in RNAcentral is "lncRNA (ENSPCIG00000016314.2)". The record is from RNAcentral. Lineage: Eukaryota; Metazoa; Chordata; Mammalia; Diprotodontia; Phascolarctidae.
CAUUUUUGGAUAUUAAAAAUCAGAGCUUAUGACAAUGAUCGGGUGCAUUCUACCACUGGAACACUAACUGUCAUUUUACAGGAUGUAAAUGAUAACCCACCACAGUGUACUCAGGACCGUUAUGUAAUUGAACUUCCUGAAAAUCCACUUGAAACUCGUUUAGUGUCUUUAAUUUGUACUGAUAAGGAUGGAACGGAUCCCAAUAAUAACAUCACUUAUCACUUGAUCGUGGACAAAUUUUCAAAUGAAAUAUUUACCCUCACCAACAAUGAAAUAAAAAUUGGGCCUAAACAACUGAAUUAUGAUAAUUUUGUUCUUGCUGGGAUGCAAUUUAAAUAUACUCUUUUUGUAAGAGUAUCUGAUGGAGGCACUCCAGAAUUAUCAAAUGCAGACUGGCCAUUCAAUAACAUAAGAUAUACAAUUGAUGGAGGUAAUCUGGGGACAACUUCCAAAUUUUACAUCGAACCAAACACAGGAAUAAUAAAAUUGUUGGAUUCAUUAGACAGAGAAAUUCAAGCCCAAUACAAAUUAGUAGUAAGAGCAACAGAUACAGACAAUGACAUUGAACCCGAUCCACUCAGACAGAGAAGUAGUUCUGUUGUUGUGACCAUCAAUAUCUGGUAAAUAUAAGACUUUUAAAAAUUAAUUAAUUUACUUUUAGUUUUCAAC